Oncorhynchus keta (chum salmon) is the source of this 2693-nucleotide long non-coding RNA. RefSeq lists it as uncharacterized. The record is from RefSeq and is a predicted model, not a curated record. The transcript has 3 exons. NCBI's taxonomy places the organism in Eukaryota, Metazoa, Chordata, Actinopteri, Salmoniformes, Salmonidae.
CGUACCGUAUUUAUUUGGAGAGUGAAGCUAACUUUUAAUUUGGCUCUAUACUCCAGCAUUCUGGACUGGAGAUGAAUUGUUUUGUAUGAGGAGAAAGUACAGAAUGUCACCUUUUUAUUUGAGAGUAUUUUCAUACAUAUCUAUUAUACCGUUUAGAAAUUAAAGCACUUUGUAUCUAAUCCCCCCAUUUGAAUGUGUCUUAAGUAUUUGGUUAAAUUAAUUUAAAGUAUAUUAAAGUAGUCAAAUGUUUAGUAUUUGGUCCCAUAUUCCUAGCACACAAUUACUACAUAAAGCUUGUGACUACACACUUGUUGGAUGCAUUCGCAGUUUGUAUUAGAUGCAUUUCGGGUUAUGUUGUGCUCAAUAUAAAUGAAUGGUAAAUAAUGUAUUGUGUCAUUUUGGAGUAACUUUUAUUGUAAAUAAGAAUAGAAUGUUUCUGAACACACACAAAGAGCAUGCACCUCAAAGCAUGCAAACCUCUCACCAUUACCAAUAACAGGAGAGGUUAGCAUUUUGGGGGGUAUGAUCAUUGUUCCUCUGUAACUUUCUCACUAAGCAUUAUUCACAAUUCAUUAAUAUAAGUGAAUUUGUCCAAAUACUUCAUACAUAAAGUGCUUUCAUUUCUAAAACACAUACUGUAUGAAACAAACCUCAAAUAAGAUGUGACAUUCUGUACUGUCACCUCAUUUAAAACAUUUGAUCUCAAAUCCAAAAUGGUGGAGUAUAGAGCCAAAUGUACAUAUUUUAGCUUCACUGUCCAAUUACAUACUUAGGGGAGUGUACAUCUUUAGAGACAGGGUUCACUCCCCCAAAGUGGAAAAUAGUCCACAGUUGACUGGUAUAUGUGACAUAUUGUAUGCUCAAGUGAUACCCUGAUAGAUGCUCAUAGGUAGAAGUCUUGAUGUGGCAGACGGGUAGGCGAUCAACAGAGUACAAGGUUGAAGGUGACUGAUAGAGAGUUCUUUGUCACCUGUCAUCUUCUCCUGUCUGUGCUGGAGGCUGAGGGCUGGAUGACCUGGGGUCACGGUGUUUUUGUCUGCCAGGCGCGUCUGUGGUCGCGCCACGGUGACAUAUCUGUUGUAGCGCCACGGUGACAUGUCUGUUGUGUCAGUGUGUCAUGAUGACAGAAAGCAGGUUAAACUGACACUGAGCUGAUGAACAGCCAGGAGAAAGAGAUGACUCUCACUGGGACACAGAAUCAGUGUCACUCCAGUGUUACUCUUCGUACUGGUUGGUUUCAACCUUAAGGCUGCUGCCAUUGUCAGCAAGACAAUGGUUUACUGAGUUAGUGCGGGCGGGAGUGCAUUAGGCUUCUUCAGUGAAUACUUGACCUUGUGUUAGGUGACACAACAACUCAUCUGAAUGUGGUGGGGCCAGACGAGCACCACUAACAAUGAUCUCAUUUCUAUAUUCUUGUGGUUUAAUAUAACAAUCAAUAAGAGUGUGGAGGUAUAACUGAAGUUGUAAUCCUGUCAGGGUGGAGGUAUAACUGAAGUUGUAAUCAUGUCAGGGUGGAGGUAUAACUGAAGUUGUAAUCCUGUCAGGAUGGAGGUAUAACUGAAGUUGUAAUCCUGUCAGGGUGGAGGUAUAACUGAAGUUGUAAUCAUGUCAGGGUGGAGGUAUAACUGAAGUUGUAAUCCUGUCAGGGUGGAGGUAUAACUGAAGUUGUAAUCCUGUCAGGGUGGAGGUAUAACUGAAGUUGUAAUCCUGUCAGGGUGGAGGUAUAACUGAAGUUGUAAUCAUGUCAGGGUGGAGGUAUAACUGAAGUUGUAAUCAUGUCAGGGUGGAGGUAUAACUGAAGUUGUAAUCAUGUCAGGGUGGAGGUAUAACUGAAGUUUUAAUCCUGUCAGGGUGGAGGUAUAACUGAAGUUGUAAUCAUGUCAGGGUGGAGGUAUAACUGAAGUUGUAAUCAUGUCAGGGUGGAGGUAUAACUGAAGUUGUAAUCAUGUCAGGGUGGAGGUAUAACUGAAGUUGUAAUCAUGUCAGGGUGGAGGUAUAACUGAAGUUUUAAUCAUGUCAGGGUGGAGGUAUAACUGAAGUUGUAAUCAUGUCAUGGUGGAGGUAUAACUGAAGUUGUAAUCCUGUCAGGAUGGAGGUAUAACUGAAGUUGUAAUCCUGUCAGGGUGGAGGUAUAACUGAAGUUGUAAUCAUGUCAGGGUGGAGGUAUAACUGAAGUUGUAAUCCUGUCAGGGUGGAGGUAUAACUGAAGUUGUAAUCCUGUCAGGGUGGAGGUAUAACUGAAGUUGUAAUCCUGUCAGGCUAGACAAGCAGCAUUUACAGUCUCUGUUGUCCUUUUACUUAUGUAAUGGAAACAAUGUGGUCGCUUUUCACCUCUGCUAUUUCAAUAUGUGUGUGUUUACAUGAAGGAGAGUGAAAGAGGUCAAGGUUGAGGGCUGAUUAAUAUAAUAAAUAAAUAUAAUAAAGUACUAUUACCUGAACAAUGGCAGACACUUUCUACUGGUGGGACUGUUCUAUUACUCAGUUCCUUCACAACAAGUGGCUAGCAAUACAGCCUGAAUCUAAUCACCAUGGAAACUAAAAAUAAUGUGUUGUCUGCUUUAUAUUACCUCAACAUGCCUAGCAAUUCUAGUAACUGUCUAAAUUUAGUUCAAGAUGUAUCUGUUGUUUUCCUCUUUUGCUGCUUUAACUUUGAUACAGGCCUGGUGUUUAUCUGUUUCCUAUAAAUCAGUGGU